RNAcentral lists this small RNA (331 nucleotides) under Arabidopsis thaliana (thale cress). RNAcentral's name for it is "ATSL093390". The record is from RNAcentral. Lineage: Eukaryota; Viridiplantae; Streptophyta; Magnoliopsida; Brassicales; Brassicaceae.
UUAAAAUCAUUGCUUAUGUUUUACAAACUGUUUUGACAAAAUUAAAUAGAAAAAAGGACGACCAUUUAAAAAAGAACCACAAUGUAAUAAAUAAUAGAUGGAUGCCCAUUAUAAGGCUCUUCAUCUAGGUCCAUCAUCUAGAUGUCUCUAGGGUUUUAGCCUUCCCUUGUACUCCUAUAUAAAGGACUCUUUAUUCAAUGGAAUAACACACUCAUUUUUCUUCUAUCUCUUUCUCUAGUCAUAACACGUUAUCAACACGCUCUAAAAGGUAGAUAUAGAGAUUCUUACAUUUUUUUUAGAACCAUGUUUACUUACAUGGUUCACAAUAUUU